ACACGCAUGACACACUGCAUAUCAAUAAGCGGAGGAAAAGAAACUAACAAGGAUUCCCCUAGUAACGGCGAGUGAAGCGGGAAGAGCUCAAAUUUGAAAUCUUAAAGGGUUUCCCUUUACGAAUUGUAGUUUAAAGAAGUGUUUUCUGUUGGAGUUUCGGUAAAAGUUCUUUGGAAUAGGACAUCAUAGAGGGUGAGAAUCCCGUAUUUGACCGUUACUUUCCAGCUGUGUGAUACACUUUCAAAGAGUCGGAUUGUUUGGGAAUGCAGUCCAAAAUGGGUGGUAAAUUUCAUCUAAAGCUAAAUAUUGGCGAGAGACCGAUAGCGAACAAGUACCGUGAGGGAAAGAUGAAAAGAACUUUGAAAAGAGAGUUAAACAGUACGUGAAAUUGUCAAAAGGGAAGCGUUUGACACCAGUGUUGUUUAGUUGAAAAUCAAUUCAAUAAUUUUUGAUUUUGAGUAGUAUUGACUUCAUCAGCUUGCUGCUUUCUUUUCAGGAAAUUAUUGAAUGCACUUUUCAGUUAACAAGUCAACAUCAAUUUCUUUUGUUGUAAAAGGGUAUGAGGAAGGUGGCUUACGCUUCGGCGUAAGUGUUUAUAGCCUUUUACCUCUGCAAUCGGAGAGAUUGAGGACAGCAGCGUAGACUCUUCGGGGUUAGAUACACUUGUGCUAAGCUAUAGCCUUGUAUAGACAACUUGUUGACUAUGCUCAGUCAUGUAGCUUACUCGCUUGUGCUAUUUUACCUACGCUUAGGAUGUUGACUGAUAUGUAGUCGUA
This 776-nucleotide ribosomal RNA is filed under the name uncultured Neocallimastigales. RNAcentral's name for it is "partial large subunit ribosomal RNA". It matches the Rfam family "Eukaryotic large subunit ribosomal RNA", at positions 23 to 644 of the family's 3401-position model. The record is from RNAcentral. Lineage: Eukaryota; Fungi; Neocallimastigomycota; Neocallimastigomycetes; Neocallimastigales.